CAAAACCCAUAUGGUUGUGUGAAAGUAGCCUUAGGGCUUAUUCACACGACCGCGUGAAGCCCGUGCUGUGGACCGCUAAUUGUGGUGCGCUAAGCACGGGCACCUGCCGUGUGGCAGCCGCAUAGGG
Molecule: long non-coding RNA, 127 nt
Organism: Bufo bufo (common toad)
Lineage: Eukaryota; Metazoa; Chordata; Amphibia; Anura; Bufonidae
Exons: 3
Source: RefSeq, a predicted model, not a curated record